Molecule: unclassified non-coding RNA, 249 nt
Filed under: Hevea brasiliensis (rubber tree)
Lineage: Eukaryota; Viridiplantae; Streptophyta; Magnoliopsida; Malpighiales; Euphorbiaceae
Source: RNAcentral
GAUUAUUCUUUCUGAUACAUUGGGACCCAUAGAGAAAGCACGCAUGUUAGCCACACAAAUCCGCUGGGAAGCUAGGGUGAUUGACCUACAGAAUGGAAGCGACCAACGUCUUCUUGUAUGCCAAAAACCAUUCACGAGAAAGUGAUUUUUCUGGGACUGAACACUUCUUAACAUCGGUGACUUUCCUAAAUUCCACUAGGAAGGAGGAUAACCGCGACAUAUUGAAUCAUGAAAGAAGGAAGUUUCCAU